Molecule: long non-coding RNA, 556 nt
Organism: Perca fluviatilis (European perch)
Lineage: Eukaryota; Metazoa; Chordata; Actinopteri; Perciformes; Percidae
Exons: 4
Source: RefSeq, a predicted model, not a curated record
CUGCUGACCACUAGGGCGGCAGUAUAUAAGUGCGGCCUUCCUUCUCGCGCUCCCACUGCUGCAUCAUUUCCGGGUCAGGUGUCUGUCUGUGCAGAGCAGCGACCGAGUGCUCCGUGUGGCGUUCUCCAUUUUUAUUUCCUGGUUCUCUUGAGCAGUGGUAGAUGUCUGCUGUCGUGUGGGUCUUUCUCUCCCUCCCUCUCGCUGUGCAGGUUUGACUUUGAAAACAGGGAAUGCUCAUCAGCUGGCCGAAGUCUACCGGUGGUGAUUGAUGUGAUUCCACCACCAGCUGAUUGGGGCCACUGCUGUUUUGUCUCCACUGCUAAAUGCUGCUUGGUCUGCUUUUGUCUCCACUGCUAAAUGCUGCUAAUUGUACAGCUUUCUCUGCUGCUAACUACACAGUCUACUCUCUGCUGCUGAAUGUAUAGCUUUGCCUACAGAGCCUUGUCUGCUGCUGUGCCUCGGCUGCUAGCUGCACAGCUUUGUUUUUGCAGCGAACUACACAGCGUGUCGCUACUGCUUGGCACUGUUGUUGCUGGCUUUUGGUGCGCAUGGUGAA